CUAACACAUGCAAGUCGCACGAGAAAGGGACUUCGGUCCUGAGUACAGUGGCGCACGGGUGAGUAACACGUGAAUCAUCUACCUUCGAGUGGGGAAUAACUGAGAGAAAUCUUAGCUAAUACCGCAUAAUACCUACGGGUCAAAGGAGCAAUUCGCUUCAGGAGGGGGCCGCGGCUGAUUAGCUAGUUGGCGGGGUAAUGGCCCACCAAGGCGAAGAUCGGUAGCCGGCCUGAGAGGGCGCACGGCCACACUGGAACUGAAACACGGUCCAGACUCCUACGGGAGGCAGCAGUGGGGAAUUUUGCGCAAUGGGGGAAACCCUGACGCAGCAACGCCACGUGGAGGAUGAAGCCCCUUGGGGCGUAAACUCCUUUCGACCAAGACGAUUAUGACGGUACUGGUGGAAGAAGCACCGGCUAACUCUGUGCCAGCAGCCGCGGUAAU
RNAcentral lists this ribosomal RNA (444 nucleotides) under uncultured bacterium. Its description in RNAcentral is "bacterial SSU rRNA". It matches the Rfam family "Bacterial small subunit ribosomal RNA", at positions 48 to 524 of the family's 1533-position model. The record is from RNAcentral.